GGGAAAUGGCAGUACAUUUGUGACAAUGACACAGGUUCAGCCCACAAAAUUCAAGUGCCAUGCCUGCCAGGAAGCUGAAUCAACAGAAAAGAAACUGAGAAGUAUUCAUUUUCCUGUUUGGUGGUCAGAAUUGGAGAAUCUGCAAGACUUAUCUUCAACCUCUCUCGAUUCUUCAAAGCUCCUAGUACCCACCUGGAACAGCAGGAUGUGUGCAUG
Long non-coding RNA from Harpia harpyja (harpy eagle), 216 nucleotides. RefSeq lists it as uncharacterized. The record is from RefSeq and is a predicted model, not a curated record. The transcript is spliced from 3 exons. NCBI's taxonomy places the organism in Eukaryota, Metazoa, Chordata, Aves, Accipitriformes, Accipitridae.